Molecule: long non-coding RNA, 310 nt
Organism: Mytilus californianus (California mussel)
Lineage: Eukaryota; Metazoa; Mollusca; Bivalvia; Mytilida; Mytilidae
Exons: 3
Source: RefSeq, a predicted model, not a curated record
GUACGUGUACAUAAGUUAGCUAAGAUGAAAUGUGUUAAAAUUCAAGUAUAUGUAUUUCUUAUACUUUUUCUAGCACAAAAUAUGAUGUGUGUAUUUGACACCGCUGAUAUAUGUCCUACAUAUGCAACAUACCAAACUGAUACUCAGACUUGUGAAUGUGAUAGUGGUUAUAGAUGGGAAGAUACAAGUCAUUUGAAAUGCGUACCAUAUAGUACAACUUUUCCGGACAAUCCUGGAUUGGGGCAAGGAUGAUGUCAAAACAAGGAAAACAAAAUCAAGAAUUAUUUAUUGCUCCAGAUUUCAUCUGUAA